AAUAGAUACCCAGGUAGUCCACCCCGUAAACGUUGGGAACUAGUUGUGGGGUCCAUUCCACGGAUUCCGUGACGCAGCUAACGCAUUAAGUUCCCCGCCUGGGGAGUACGGCCGCAAGGCUAAAACUCAAAGGAAUUGACGGGGACCCGCACAAGCGGCGGAGCACGCGGAUUAAUUCGAUGCAACGCGAAGAACCUUACCAAGGCUUGACAUAUACGAGAACGCUGCAGAGAUGCAGAACUCUUUGGACACUCGUAUACAGGUGGUGCAUGGUUGUCGUCAGCUCGUGUCGUGAGAUGUUGGGUUAAGUCCCGCAACGAGCGCAACCCUCGUUCUAUGUUGCCAGCACGUUAUGGUGGGAACUCAUGGGAUACUGCCGGGGUCAACUCGGAGGAAGGUGGGGAUGACGUCAAAUCAUCAUGCCCCUUAUGUCUUGGGCUUCACGCAUGCUACAAUGGCCGGUACAAAGGGCUGCGAUGCCGUAAGGCGGAGCGAAUCCCAAAAAGCCGGUCCCAGUCGUCGGUAUUGGACGGUUCGUCGACUAACCG
This 548-nucleotide ribosomal RNA is filed under the name uncultured bacterium. Its description in RNAcentral is "bacterial SSU rRNA". It matches the Rfam family "Bacterial small subunit ribosomal RNA", at positions 777 to 1322 of the family's 1533-position model. The record is from RNAcentral.